This 253-nucleotide ribosomal RNA is filed under the name uncultured prokaryote. Its description in RNAcentral is "partial 16S ribosomal RNA". It matches the Rfam family "Bacterial small subunit ribosomal RNA", at positions 524 to 776 of the family's 1533-position model. The record is from RNAcentral.
UACGUAGGGUGCAAGCGUUAAUCGGAAUUACUGGGCGUAAAGCGUGCGCAGGCGGUUUUGUAAGUCUGUCGUGAAAUCCCCGGGCUCAACCUGGGAAUGGCGAUGGAGACUGCAAGGCUAGAGUUUGGCAGAGGGGGGUAGAAUUCCACGUGUAGCAGUGAAAUGCGUAGAUAUCAGGAGGAACACCUGUGGUGUAGACGGCUCUCUGGACAGUAACUGACGCUGAGACACGAAAGCGUGGGUAGCAAACAGG